RNAcentral lists this long non-coding RNA (286 nucleotides) under Mus spicilegus (steppe mouse). RNAcentral describes it as "lncRNA (ENSMSIG00000011470.1)". The record is from RNAcentral. Lineage: Eukaryota; Metazoa; Chordata; Mammalia; Rodentia; Muridae.
UCAACUGGGAGAAUCUGUAUCCUUAAAAUUAAAACAUUUAAAUCAUGAGUAUAAGAGUCCAAGCUUUGGAUCAAGAAAUCACCUCCACCUUGGUUGGAGUUUGGGGUAUGGUGUGUAUUUGAAGAUUCAAAGUCAACUUUUAAUAACAGUGCCUGCACGUGGUCUUCAGGAGCUCAAACACUCUCACACAGAACAGAAAGGAAGUCUCCAAAACGAUUGUGAAAUUGACAAAUCACCGCACUGAUUUUGGCUUUGGGGGAGAAGCAUGGAGUUAGACAUGCAGAAG